GGGAUGUGCUCAGAGCAGGUGGCCUGAGAAAUGGCUUCUCUGUUUACAACACAUGCAACAGGAAUUUAGUGUCAUUGUGACAAGGUGCACAAAACUUGUGACUUCCCUCUGAGCAAGUGUCCUAAACAA
RNAcentral lists this small nucleolar RNA (129 nucleotides) under Chinchilla lanigera (long-tailed chinchilla). Its description in RNAcentral is "Small nucleolar RNA SNORA11 (ENSCLAG00000019745.1)". It matches the Rfam family "Small nucleolar RNA SNORA11". From Rfam's summary of the family: U107 (SNORA11) is a member of the H/ACA class of snoRNAs that guide the sites of modification of uridines to pseudouridines. Lineage: Eukaryota; Metazoa; Chordata; Mammalia; Rodentia; Chinchillidae. The record is from Rfam by way of RNAcentral.